This 492-nucleotide ribosomal RNA is filed under the name uncultured bacterium. RNAcentral's name for it is "partial 16S ribosomal RNA". It matches the Rfam family "Bacterial small subunit ribosomal RNA", at positions 29 to 507 of the family's 1533-position model. The record is from RNAcentral.
AGUGAACGCUGGCGGUAGGCCUAACACAUGCAAGUCGAACGGCAGCACAGUAAGAGCUUGCUCUUACGGGUGGCGAGUGGCGGACGGGUGAGGAAUACAUCGGAAUCUACUUUUUCGUGGGGGAUAACGUAGGGAAACUUACGCUAAUACCGCAUACGACCUACGGGUGAAAGCAGGGGAUCUUCGGACCUUGCGCGAUUGAAUGAGCCGAUGUCGGAUUAGCUAGUUGGCGGGGUAAAGGCCCACCAAGGCGACGAUCCGUAGCUGGUCUGAGAGGAUGAUCAGCCACACUGGAACUGAGACACGGCCCAGACUCCUACGGGAGGCAGCAGUGGGGAAUAUUGGACAAAGGGGGCAAGCCUGAUCCAGCCAUACCGCGUGGGUGAAGAAGGCCUUCUGGUUGUAAAGCCCUGUUGUUGGGAAAGAAAAGCAGCAGGUUAAUACCCCGCUGUUCUGACGGUACCCAAAGAAUAAGCACCGGCUAACUUCGUG